RNAcentral lists this ribosomal RNA (458 nucleotides) under uncultured bacterium. RNAcentral's name for it is "partial 16S ribosomal RNA". It matches the Rfam family "Bacterial small subunit ribosomal RNA", at positions 338 to 795 of the family's 1533-position model. The record is from RNAcentral.
CCUACGGGAGGCAGCAGUGAGGAAUAUUGGUCAAUGGGCGAGAGCCUGAACCAGCCAAGUCGCGUGAGGGAGUACUGCCCUAUGGGUUGUAAACCUCUUUUGUCGGGGAGCAAAAGCCGGACGUGUCCGGCUGUGAGAGUACCCGAAGAAAAAGCAUCGGCUAACUCCGUGCCAGCAGCCGCGGUAAUACGGAGGAUGCGAGCGUUAUCCGGAUUUAUUGGGGUUAAGGGGUGCGCAGGCGGAUUUUUAAGUCAGCGGUCAAAUCGUGGGGCUCAACCCCAUCCAGCCGUUGAAACUGGGGAUCUAGAGUGUGCGAGAGGUAUGCGGAAUGCGUGGUGUAGCGGUGAAAUGCAUAGAUAUCACGCAGAACCCCGAUUGCGAAGGCAGCAUACCGGUGCACAACUGACGCUCAGGCACGAAAGCGUGGGUAUCGAACAGGAUUAGAUACCCGUGUAGUC